Long non-coding RNA from Mustela lutreola (European mink), 859 nucleotides. RefSeq lists it as uncharacterized. The transcript has 3 exons. Lineage: Eukaryota; Metazoa; Chordata; Mammalia; Carnivora; Mustelidae. The record is from RefSeq and is a predicted model, not a curated record.
AGCCUUUAAUAGUGAGGUAGUUUAUGGUCCUUAGGCAAGAGAUGGGAUUUGUGUUGGGAUUUCAAGAAUGGGAGGUGCCGAAGAGAAAACUGAGAAGCUAAAUGUGAAAAUAUGCAAUUUACUGACUGGAGUAGUUCUGAACACAUUUUAAACAUAAUUAAACUAUGGCUGUGGGUCUAUAUGCGUUUUCAUAAUUUUCCCUUGAAAAUGUGAGGCAUACAGAUGUCAUCUCCAGUGAAUUCUCCUUGUCCGUAUACAGAAUCACCAAAAAAAAAAAAAAAAAAAAGGCAUUCUGACAGUCCUCAGCCCAUCCACUCCAGGAUUGUGACUCUUUCUUCCCCAUGUUCUUUCUGACAUCAUGGACUCUCAGGUUGACCUCUCCCAUCUUGGGUCCCACUCUCAUUAGCUGUAGAAGUCAUGCGAUGUUUGUGAUGUGAGGGUGGCAAUACUCUCUGACCUUUGGUUACAAUAUGUCUUUGAAAGCCAGUGUUUAUUCUGCUUUUACAGCAUUUCUCCAUUUGAACUGGCCACCUUUUAAGUGGUCAUUAGCCACAUGUGGCUACUAGCCAUGGGACUUAGACAGCAGAGGUGUGGAAAGUCCGCACAUUCUUCCACUCAAAGGAUAUUGAAAAUUUCCAGUUCUCAGUAUAACUGCCAACUGGCCCAGGGGUGGACAAGUGAGUCAGAUGAGACCAAAAUGAAAAUUCUGUUGAGACACUGGACCUUGAGGAUUCAAGCCAAGGACAAAAAAGUAGAAGGCCACUAGAAACAGCAGGUGAUGGCCCCAGCUCCUAUCCCUCCAUGCAGAACAUCUGUCAACACCUGUGGACAUCUUUUCCUCCCCCCAUUCCUAUGAAUU